GACGGUACCUGCAGAAUAAGCACCGGCUAACUACGUGCCAGCAGCCGCGGUAAAUAAUGUAGGCGCAAGCGUUAAUCGGAAUUACUGGGCGUAAAGCGUGUGCGCAGGCGUCUGGAAAGAAAGAUGUGAAAUCCUGUAUUUAACUUUGGAACUGCAUUUUUAACUACCGGAGCUAGAGUGUGUUGAGGGAGGUGGAAUUCCAAGUGUAGCAGUGAAAUGCGUAGAUAUGCGGAGGAACACCGGAUGGCAGCCUCCUGGGAUAACACUGACGCUCAUGCACGAAAGCGUGGGGAGCAAACAGGAUUAGAUGGUUCUGGUAGUCCACGCCCUAAACGAUGUCAACUAGCUGUUGGGGCCUUCGGGCCUCGGUAGCGCAGCUAACGCGUGAAGUUGACCGCCCGGGGAGUACGGUCGCAAGAUUAAAACUCAAAGGAAUUGACGGGGACCCGGCACGCGGUGGAUGAUGUGGAUUAAUUCGAUGCAACGCGAAAAACCUUACCUACCCUUGACAUGUCUGGAAUCCCGAAGAGAUUUGGGAGUGCUCGCAAGAGAACCGAACACAGGUGCUGCAUGGCUGUCGUCAGCUCGUGUCUUGAGAUGUUGGGUUAAGUCCCGCAACGAGCGCAACCUUGUCAUUAGUUGCUACGAAAGGGCACUCUAAUGAGACUGCCGGUGACAAAAACUGAGGAAGGUGGGGAUGACGUCAAGUCCUCAUGGCCCUUAUGGGUAGGGCUUCACACGUCAUACAAUGGUCGGGACAGUGGUCGCCAGCGAGGGAGCCAAUCCCAGAAACCUCGAUCGUAGUCCGGAUCGCAGUCUGCAACUCGACUGCGUGAAGUCGGAAUCGCUAGUAAUCGUGAUCAGCAUGUCGCGGUGAAUACGUUCCCGGGUCUUGUACACAUCGCCCGUCACACCAUGGGAGUGGGUUUUACUGAAGUAGUUAGCCUAACCGGGUAAGGAGGCGAUUACCAGGUAGGAUUCAUGACUGGGGUGAAGUCGUAACAAGGUAG
RNAcentral lists this unclassified non-coding RNA (1010 nucleotides) under uncultured Bordetella sp. RNAcentral describes it as "partial 16S-23S ribosomal RNA intergenic spacer". It matches the Rfam family "Bacterial small subunit ribosomal RNA", at positions 471 to 1499 of the family's 1533-position model. Lineage: Bacteria; Pseudomonadati; Pseudomonadota; Betaproteobacteria; Burkholderiales; Alcaligenaceae. The record is from RNAcentral.